This is a long non-coding RNA of Tachysurus vachellii, 1890 nucleotides long. RefSeq lists it as uncharacterized. The transcript has 2 exons. The record is from RefSeq and is a predicted model, not a curated record. Lineage: Eukaryota; Metazoa; Chordata; Actinopteri; Siluriformes; Bagridae.
GCAGUCUCAGGCCGAACAGGCCACAGGUAUGUUCUUAAUUCUGUCAUUUUUCUGCAUGGCCUGCAUGAUUCAUUGUUCUCUAUAAACAACAGAUGAAAGGGUGUGGAUCUCUUUGCUCAGUUGUGUCAAAGCUUACGGGUUUGCUUUGGAAAUUGGGAGUUGCUUCGGUACCUCAGUGUGUCUGGGCAGCACUUUCAAGGACUGUCAAUCCUGAGAAUGUUGAGGUUUUGGGUCAAUCUCAGGUUCGUCAGCCCAUGAAAAGCUGUCUUCGCCUAAUCCUAGUAUGAUCAGUAAUGUUUCGUAUAAACAUCAUCUGUUUAUUUAAACUUUUUAACAUACAUUGCAUUUUGAUAUAGAUUUCAUGAAAAUUAAAGCUACUGUUAUUUGUAUAUUAUUAUUUUUGCUUAUGUAGAUCCUGCUUUUUAUGAUUAAUGUGCAUGGUUUCUUUUGUGACAAUCACUAUUUACUAACAGUGAAUGUUUAAAGACUCACUGCAAAUUACAAAUUUGGUUUACCAAGUUGUUUAAAAUGCUCAUGCCCAUUAUGGUUAUGAUAAUCUGGGGAUAGGUUUUAAACUGCCAAAAUAAAUAAUUAUUUUUCAUGGUUUUUUUAAAUUAUUUAAUUAAUUUUAUAGAACAGAUCAAUUGGCGUUUGUGGAGUUUACAACUAUUUUAAAUCUUCUUAACAUUAAGUAUUUAAAAAAAAUGGAUCCUUGGUAAUUCUUUCCAUAUUUAAAUUUUUCUCAAAUUUUGGUUUAGAAAACAGCAUAGUAAACCCAUUAAUAGUCAGAAGUCUUUAGGUUUGAGUAGCCCAUGUAUAUUGGAAGUUAUCGAUACAAAAAUGUAUGUUUCCUUAAUGUAAUGCAAAGGUAUGAAACAAUUUACACCAUGAAAUCAUUAUACAGUAUAUAUUAUUAAUGUUUUUCUGUUUGUUGGGGUGUGGAGGUUGUUUAUUUGAAUUCUCAUUUAGAAAAAUAACAGCCGUAACUCUGAACAGUUGCUUUUCUUUUUUACAUUCUAAAUAAAAAAGUUCUCUAUAACUUACUAUAAUAUAUAUGAAUAUAAAAUAUAUAUGAAAAUAACUAUCAUUAUUUAUCACCAUUAUGCAAUGCAAUGAGAUUGAGAUUUACAUUUCAAUGAAAUUAAAGUGAAAGGUUUCAGCUCCGCUGCUACUGACAUAAGUGAAAGGUGCUAGAGCUCAGCAUCCUUGACUCCUGUUCUCAUAAUUAGUUUUUUUUUGUCACAGAGCACAGAAAAUGUAAUAUUAAAUUGCUAGUACCAUGAUUCUGUGUGGUGAAAAAAGUUGACAAAAUGAGGGUAAAUUUUAUUUCAGGACUUGAUGGAAAAAGAAAUUAUCAGUUUAUUUGUCCUAAUUCAGAGGUUUCAAGCACCUAUCUGCUCUUCCCCAGUUUGUACUAUUACACGAUUGUAACACGAUUGUACUAUUUCUGGGCAGGGAGAUUACAAUUAAUAUAUUUAAAGUUAUUAGUUAAUAAAACUGCAGUAAAGUCUUAUGUACUGUGUACAGUAUCUGUGAACAAUUUAGGACAAUAGUUUUACAGAUCACCACAAGAGGGGCCAUUGUCCAUGAGAAUGUGAAGGUUUUCAUUAAAACACUACUGAUGGGGACAUGUCUAUUACGAUGCAUUUUUUGCAUGUGACUGGAGUUGAAAAUAAUAAAAAUUUCAUACUGGUUAAUACCUCUGUACAGCCAUGGAUGUUUAGACAUUUUAUGAAAAACAAUGAUGUAAAUCCUUUUGACACAGCAGCUGAAAUACACUGGAAUGCAUCUGCAUCCACAUACUUUAUGUGCAUAGUUGACUAGUAUCUUGUUUGGAUAUAGCCUUAUAACCCUUCCCAAAUCAAUAAAGAGCAACACUUGCUUCUCUGA